RNAcentral lists this long non-coding RNA (1011 nucleotides) under Papio anubis (olive baboon). RNAcentral describes it as "lncRNA (ENSPANG00000047672.1)". The record is from RNAcentral. Lineage: Eukaryota; Metazoa; Chordata; Mammalia; Primates; Cercopithecidae.
AGCACUCGGAGCUGCCCCAAUGCCUCCACCCAAGGUCGCGGCCCAAAGGGAGCCCUCGAAAGUUCAGCCAGAGGCCGAGGAGUGCCAGGGUUGGCACUACGGGGAGAGUUUUGCGACAGGAGAGGGACUAAGAGCUCGAUUCCAGGUAGUAGCGGGAACCCGAGGCAAGCGCCCAGUCCCGCAAGCUGCAUCCCCGACCGCAGCGCCCAGCUCGGAAAAGCUGGGCGGGGGCUGCACCACCUGAGCCGCAAGGACAGCACGGCCUCCCCCUACUCAUCAGUGUUCUCCAUCCCUAGAAUCGGGGCGCGGAGAGCCAAUCCGGGCUGGAAAGGGAGCGGCGUCCACCCUUGGGCAGCCCAAGCAGCCCCCCUCCUUUUCUGUCGCAGACCCCAGGCUGGGAGGCGGGGGCGCCAGGUCGGCCCAAGCUGCUGCAGCCACUGCCUUAAAGGCAGCGGAGGACGCGGCGCUGGGGAGGGGGCGAGGCGGGUGGCGGAGGUGAGAGGAGAGUGGUCGAGCGCGGGGGCCAACACCCGGGUCGCGCAGGGCGGGUGUUGGACACCCCGGCGCACUGCCGGGGACUGGGGUCGCAGAGUCCCUUACCUUGGCGAGCUGCGGAAGUCGUGCGCGAGGCGGCCCGCGGUGCACCCGGCCGGGGCAGCUAGGCGCACACCCCGGCUUCGGGGCGCACGCAGCCUCCGGGUGCACAGUCCGCGUCCCAGGCGCGCACCCCGGGGCUGGAGCACCCUGGUCGUCCGCGGCGCGCACACCCUCCAGGCGCCCUCUGGCCGGCGGGCUCGGCCCUGGCCCCGGCGCACCCCUGUGGGCACACCCACCGCGGCGGAUGCGGGACUGGCCAGGCGCCGCCAGUCGCGGCUUCGCCCCGCGUCGCCAGCUGCCAACAGCGCCCGAGUCCCCGCCUUCGCUAGGGGAGAAAAAAAAAGACUCCUGACGCGGCGCGGGCUUUGGUGUGUAGGAAGGGGCAGAAUUGUGAAACCGAGGGGAGGGUCUUAG